CCAAACAAGCUAUUCAGGCUUUCUCUUGAAAAACCCCUGUCCCGCAGAGGCCCGUGGCUCCUCAGAUUUCACUGGCUGAAGGCUUCUCAGGAAGAAAACCUUUCCAGAUGCCUGGAUGAUCUGUGGAGUCGAGGGAGAUGUCUUGCUACCUUUCCCGAAUCCUGCAGGAAGACUACAAGGCAAUCGAUAUCCAUGGAGAAUCAUGAACUAUAAAAAUAGAGUGAGGACUCCAAAGGUACUACAGGAAAUUGUGGCCUGAGGAAGAAGGCCUUGCAAUGGCACAAGUUUCCCUGGUGAUGACACUAUGAAAGGCUGUACAGAAUGGCACAGACCUGUCCACUCUACAGCAGUAGAAGUAUGGAUGCACAACUGAAAGCAGGAUUUUGUUCACCCUUACCUGACGAGUCCCUCUGGGACUGGUGCAGAUUUUAGUU
RNAcentral lists this long non-coding RNA (434 nucleotides) under Manacus vitellinus (golden-collared manakin). Its description in RNAcentral is "lncRNA (ENSMVIG00005011965.1)". Lineage: Eukaryota; Metazoa; Chordata; Aves; Passeriformes; Pipridae. The record is from RNAcentral.